AUAGACGUGCCGAGCCCUGGAUUCGCCGUAGCAGUUGCGCUGCUGCUGGUCGACAUCCAGGAAACGACACUGCGCUCACGCACACUAAUACGCCGCACUUAGCGAUGCGCGCUAAGUGUGUGCAGAGCGCACCUAACGCAGGAGUGUGUAUCAGGCUACCGGUCGAGCAGGGCUCCCGGUAGGGCUCACGGUGCGGCUCGUGCGCGCGGCCCCAGACAUCAAUAUAUUGUGUUUUGUAUUAUUUAAUAUAUGUAAUAAAGGUGUAAAUAGUUAAAACAUAAAAGUGGCGACGAGGAUGGGAUCCUCUUGCGCAAGGAGGAUCCUACAGAACCCGCGGCAGCCAUCGCGUUUCGUCUGGCCUUUCUGCAGCGUCAGUGCAGCGGCCAUCGCGAUGGCACGGUUCCCUGUGCCUUUGGAUACCGCGGAACAUCGGGCCGCCGCCACCGGAUACACCGUGGCCCCGGCUGCUGUCCCAUCACUGGCGACCGCUGCAUUGGGCAGCCGGCUACACACCACCCACUGCAGCCGCAUAUCAAGGGCGACGGCACAUUCCGCCCCGGCUCGAGCCCUGCAGCACGUCAUCGGUGAAGCAGCAAUCCCGCCGCAGCUCGAGCCCAGCAUCACCAACAGUAACGCGCAAGUUACUUCGGCUGCCGCACCUCAGCACAUCAUCGGCGAGGUCGCAAUCCCGCCAAGGCUCGAGUCCGCCUCAUCAUCGGCAACCCGCAGGUUGCUUUGACUGCAGCACUGCAGCAUGUCAUCGGCGAGGUCGCAUUCCCGCCGCGGCUCGAGCCCCGCAUCACCAACGGCGACACGUAAGUCGCCUCGGCUGCAACGCAGCAGCCUCGCAUCAUAGGCGACGACACAUUCCGCCUCACCUGCAGCAAACCUAGCACGUCCAGCCAGAGACGCCAUCGCUGUGGCCGGCCAUUGCUGUCGCCGGUCAUGGCCCUGCCGGUGCAAGGUUUCAUCGCGGCACCACCCUCACCUCCCGGCAGGCGUAGCAGCGACGCUACAACCCGAGGACGCGAACGCGGCAUCAUCGCCGCCGCCCCGGGACAACGGUGCACCAUAGCAGACGCUCACGAGGACAGCGAACACGGCAUCAUCGCCGCCGCCUCGGGACAACAGGUCACCAUAACAGACGCUACCCGAGGACAGCGAACGCGGCUUCAUCGCCGCCGCUCCGGGAGCAACAACCGCAACCCGAGGAACGCGAACGCGGCAUCAUCGCCGCCGCCCCGGGAACAUGAGCGCAGCAGCAUCACGAUUCCCACUACGUACCAUCGGUCGAAGGGUGUCACCACGCUGGUAUUCCGUUGUGGAAUACCACCCGCGUCGGUUCGACCCUUCGGUUAUUAAAAGGGGGAGAUGUUGUGGAUAGACGUGCCGAGCCCUGGAUUCGCCGUAGCAGUUGCGCUGCUGCUGGUCGACAUCCAGGAAUCGACACUGCGCUCACGCACACUAAUACGCCGCACUUAGCGAUGCGCGCUAAGUGCUUGCAGAGCGCACCUAACGCAGGAGUGUGUAUCAGGCUACCGGUCGAGCAGGGCUCCCGGUAGGGCUCACGGUGCGGCUCGUGCGCGCGGCCCCAGACAUCAAUAUAUUGUGUUUUGUAUUAUUUAAUAUGUGUAAUAAAGGUGUAAAUAGUUAAAACAUAAAAAAA
Molecule: long non-coding RNA, 1666 nt
Organism: Anopheles gambiae (African malaria mosquito)
Lineage: Eukaryota; Metazoa; Arthropoda; Insecta; Diptera; Culicidae
Exons: 2
Source: RefSeq, a predicted model, not a curated record